ACUGUUCGCCAGAGAACUACAAGUAUAAAACUAGAAACUCCAAGGACUUGGCGGUGCUCCACACCAACCUAGAGGAGCCUGUCCUAUAAUCGAUACUCCACGAUUCACCCCACCACUUUUUGAAGUUCAGCCUAUAUACCGCCGCCGUCAGCCUACCUUAUGAAAGAAGAAAAGUGGGCAAGAAAGUCAUUGACUAAAACGUCAGGUCAAGGUGUAGCAUACAAAGUGGAAGAGAUGGGCUACACUCUCUUUCAAAGAGUACACGGACAGUACAAUGAAACAAUACUCCCCAAGGUGGAUUUAGCAGUAAGACAGGCAAGAAUACCUGCCUAAAACCAGCCCUGGAGCGCGCACACACCGCCCGUUCACCCUCCUCAAA
Molecule: ribosomal RNA, 379 nt
Filed under: Panaspis africana
Lineage: Eukaryota; Metazoa; Chordata; Lepidosauria; Squamata; Scincidae
Description: Panaspis africanus partial 12S ribosomal RNA
Rfam family: Bacterial small subunit ribosomal RNA
Source: RNAcentral